CACCCCCCCCGUGCCGCAGCUAACGUGUUAAGUGUGCCGCCUGGGGAGUACGGCCGCAAGGCUAAAACUCAAAGAAAUUGACGGGGGCCCGCACAAGCGGAGGAGCAUGUGGCUUAAUUCGAUGCAACGCGAAGAACCUUACCCGGGUUUGACAUGUGACUGCACGUCCCGUGAAAGCGGGAUUCCUUCGAGGGUGUCACACAGGUGCUGCAUGGCUGUCGUCAGUUCGUGCCGUGAGGUGUUUGGUUAAGUCCAGCAACGAACGCAACCCCUGUGGCCAGUUGCCAGCGCGUAAUGGCGGGAACUCUGGCCAGACUGCCUGUUUACACAGGAGGAAGGUGGGGACGACGUCAAGUCAGUAUGGCCCUUACAUCCGGGGCUGCACACGUGCUACAAUGGCCGGUACAAAGGGACGCAAGACCGCGAGGUGGAGCAAACCCCCAGAGCCGGCCCCAGUUCAGAUUGCGGUCUGCAACCCGACCGCAUGAAGUCGGAUUCGC
This 500-nucleotide ribosomal RNA is filed under the name uncultured bacterium. Its description in RNAcentral is "bacterial SSU rRNA". It matches the Rfam family "Bacterial small subunit ribosomal RNA", at positions 833 to 1335 of the family's 1533-position model. The record is from RNAcentral.